This 261-nucleotide ribosomal RNA is filed under the name uncultured archaeon. RNAcentral describes it as "partial 16S ribosomal RNA". It matches the Rfam family "Archaeal small subunit ribosomal RNA", at positions 748 to 1009 of the family's 1478-position model. The record is from RNAcentral.
UAGCCGUAAACGAUACUCGCUAGGUGUCGGCCACGGUGCGACCGUUGUCGGUGCCGUAGGGAAGCCGUGAAGCGAGCCACCUGGGAAGUACGGCCGCAAGGCUGAAACUUAAAGGAAUCGGCGGGGGAGCACAACAACGGGUGGAGCUUGCGGUUUAAUUGGAUUCAACGCCGGAAAUCUUACCGGGACCGACAGCAACAUGAAGGCCAAGCUGAAGACUUUGCCGGAUUAGCUGAGAGGAGGUGCAUGGCGUAGUCGUGU